RNAcentral lists this ribosomal RNA (253 nucleotides) under uncultured Pseudomonas sp. RNAcentral's name for it is "partial 16S ribosomal RNA". It matches the Rfam family "Bacterial small subunit ribosomal RNA", at positions 524 to 776 of the family's 1533-position model. The record is from RNAcentral. Lineage: Bacteria; Pseudomonadati; Pseudomonadota; Gammaproteobacteria; Pseudomonadales; Pseudomonadaceae.
UACGUAGGGUGCGAGCGUUAAUCGGAAUUACUGGGCGUAAAGCGCGCGUAGGUGGUUUGAUAAGUUGGAUGUGAAAGCCCCGGGCUCAACCUGGGAAUUGCAUCCAAAACUGUCUGACUAGAGUACGGUAGAGGGUAGUGGAAUUUCCUGUGUAGCGGUGAAAUGCGUAGAGAUUUGGAGGAACACCAGUGGCGAAGGCGACUGUCUGGUCUGUAACUGACACUGAGGCGCGAAAGCGUGGGGAGCAAACAGG